Molecule: ribosomal RNA, 254 nt
Filed under: uncultured bacterium
Lineage: Bacteria
Description: partial 16S ribosomal RNA
Rfam family: Bacterial small subunit ribosomal RNA
Source: RNAcentral
UACGAAGGGGGCUAGCGUUAUUCGGAAUCACUGGGCUUAAAGCGCGCGUAGGCGGCAUUGUAAGUUAGGGGUGAAAUUCCAUCGGCUCAACCGUGGGACUGCCUUUGAUACUGAGAAGCUUGAGUCCGGGAGAGGUGAGUGGAACUGCGAGUGUAGAGGUGAAAUUCGUAGAUAUUCGCAAGAACACCAGUGGCGAAGGCGGCUCACUGGCCCGGUACUGACGCUGAGGUGCGAAAGCGUGGGGAGCAAACAGG